This 202-nucleotide unclassified non-coding RNA is filed under the name Hevea brasiliensis (rubber tree). The record is from RNAcentral. Lineage: Eukaryota; Viridiplantae; Streptophyta; Magnoliopsida; Malpighiales; Euphorbiaceae.
AGCAUCGGUCUUUGCAAGCAGAAUAUUGCUCAGUGAUGCUUGGAGAAAAGAAGCAAUUGCUUAUUCAUUAAUAAGAGAGCACUUGUUUUGUACAAAUGGUUUUAUACCUAUGAAGCAUUUUACUCUAAAGCAGCAUCUCUUCAGGACUUCAGCCCUAUCACUUUUUCUUGGCUUUGGUUCCAUAAAAAGAAACAAAACAGAG